GAUGAUGAUGAAUGAGGCCUAUUGCAUAUUAUGUGUGCAUAUAUAUGUUAUAGUAGUUGAUAAAUGCAAUUGUCCCAGAAUUUUUUGAUGUCAUGGGAAACAGGUUGACAACAUGUUGGCAAUGUAUUCACUGAAUGCAAUUACUAAGAGAUGUAAUGAACAACAAGCUGACAACAUGUUGCCAACGUGUUGGCUGCUUCGAUUAAGAUUUUGUAUAUAAACUAAUAACUGAAUUAUUUAGUGGUAAUUUUGUAUUAAUAUGAUUUGCUUA
RNAcentral lists this long non-coding RNA (271 nucleotides) under Gossypium barbadense (sea-island cotton). RNAcentral describes it as "long non-coding RNA (GBAR_LNC019234)". Lineage: Eukaryota; Viridiplantae; Streptophyta; Magnoliopsida; Malvales; Malvaceae. The record is from RNAcentral.